Molecule: ribosomal RNA, 557 nt
Filed under: Bifidobacterium adolescentis
Lineage: Bacteria; Bacillati; Actinomycetota; Actinomycetes; Bifidobacteriales; Bifidobacteriaceae
Description: bacterial SSU rRNA
Rfam family: Bacterial small subunit ribosomal RNA
Source: RNAcentral
UCUCCUGGAAAACGGGUGGUAAUGCCGGAUGCUCCGACAUGACGCAUGUCGUGUCGGGAAAGAUUCUAUCGGUAUGGGAUGGGGUCGCGUCCUAUCAGCUUGAUGGCGGGGUAACGGCCCACCAUGGCUUCGACGGGUAGCCGGCCUGAGAGGGCGACCGGCCACAUUGGGACUGAGAUACGGCCCAGACUCCUACGGGAGGCAGCAGUGGGGAAUAUUGCACAAUGGGCGCAAGCCUGAUGCAGCGACGCCGCGUGCGGGAUGACGGCCUUCGGGUUGUAAACCGCUUUUGACUGGGAGCAAGCCCUUCGGGGUGAGUGUACCUUUCGAAUAAGCACCGGCUAACUACGUGCCAGCAGCCGCGGUAAUACGUAGGGUGCAAGCGUUAUCCGGAAUUAUUGGGCGUAAAGGGCUCGUAGGCGGUUCGUCGCGUCCGGUGUGAAAGUCCAUCGCUUAACGGUGGAUCCGCGCCGGGUACGGGCGGGCUUGAGUGCGGUAGGGGAGACUGGAAUUCCCGGUGUAACGGUGGAAUGUGUAGAUAUCGGAAAAGAACAGCA